This 253-nucleotide ribosomal RNA is filed under the name uncultured bacterium. RNAcentral describes it as "partial 16S ribosomal RNA". It matches the Rfam family "Bacterial small subunit ribosomal RNA", at positions 524 to 776 of the family's 1533-position model. The record is from RNAcentral.
GACGGAGGGUGCAAGCGUUGUUCGGAAUUACUGGGCGUAAAGGGCGCGUAGGCGGUCUGUUAAGUUCGGUGUGAAAGCCCCCGGCUCACCUGGGGAACUGCGCCGGAAACCGACAGACUCGAGUACCGGAGAGGAGGGUGGAAUUCCUGGUGUAGCGGUGAAAUGCGUAGAUAUCAGGAGGAACACCGGUGGCGAAGGCGGCCCUCUGGACGGAUACUGACUCUGAGGCGCGAAAGCGUGGGGAGCGAACAGG